GAGAAAAUGAAGUUUUCGCUUGUGAAUGGGUCUUAAGGUUUUUGAACUAUUGACUCGUCGAUAUGUACAAAAUUAUAAGGCAUAGUUCUUGCCGUUUCAGAAAAGUGUCCCUCUCUACUCAAUGGAAAAUAUUAUUCCACUCAACUCUUAUAUAACUUCAACGUUCAAGGAGAAGCAGUCUCCAGAUUCUUUUGUUAGAGAGAUUUUAGGAAAAUGGCAAAUUAUCAAGAUCAAUCAUUCUGACACUGUCUAUAGUUUCGGGUUUCUGGGUCAAUAUUUGUUGGAAUUUCUUCCUUACGUUGGUUGGCAUCUUCAGAGGUUUGUUUUAUCUCUCCCAAGUUUAAAAAUACAGCCUGACAGCGAUAACAUAGACCAUAGAUCUCUGAAGAUGCUAGCCACUGACGCCGGUGAAACGUCAACAAGAAAUUCCAACAGAUGGCGUCCUAAAUACCCGAAACCAUUGUCCGAAACUACGGCCGUUGUCUAAGGAUUUAGAGAACGCUAUAGCUUUAAGAAAUGACUGCAGAAAUCUAAAUUUCUUCGUCAAUCAUUCUAUUCAUAGUUAUAGUUGAAAACAGUUUGAAAAAUCGCUUAAAGGAAGUAUAUUACGUUUACUUAUAUUCUGAAAUUUGUAUGAAAUAAAGCUAUAUUAUUCGA
This is a long non-coding RNA of Leptinotarsa decemlineata (Colorado potato beetle), 657 nucleotides long. Lineage: Eukaryota; Metazoa; Arthropoda; Insecta; Coleoptera; Chrysomelidae. The record is from RefSeq and is a predicted model, not a curated record.